CUGGGUUCUGUUGUUGGCAACCAACAGAGUUGUUGUCUUUUCUCGCAUUCAUUAAAAUGCACAAGAAGAAAUUUCUAAUGGUGAGGGAGUACUUGCUUCAAAUUCAUACUUCAGUGAAAUAAACAACACCAUACAUAGGAAUGUGAAAGCAAAGUCAUCAUACACUGUUUGCUUCAUUGUAUGAGAAUCAAUGUUUGCAUGAUAAACUGCCCUAAUGGAAGAGGACUCUGAGUUACCUUUUUCGAGCAAAGCCACCUAGGUUACUCUGUUUUCCCCAGAGUGACCCUUCUGUUCUGCAAAUUUUCAGAUUGAAGGGAGUAGCAGUAGAGUAUCAGAAGUAUCAGAAGCAAAAAAGUAAAUGUAUGAUUUGAAAUCUACUUAAAUGUACCAAUCACAGCAGAGUCUUUUGGAACUUAAACAUCUUGACUCUUCUGUUUAAAGCCUAAAUCAACCUGAGAGAAGAGAUGAAACAACUGAGGGCCAAAAAGUUUACAAAAUUUUCCAAGAUCAUACAGCUAAUUAACAACAUCUGGGCUCUUCUUGACUUUUGGAAUCCAAAAGGUGCUACCAGCAUCCCAAGGUGUCCAGCUUGUAGACAGCCUGUCGUGGGACUUCUCAACCUCCAUAAUUGUAUAACCUCAAAGUAAUGGGAGAAGAUACACAAGUGAUCAUUGCCAGGACUGAAGACUGUUCCUAGGACUACUAUUUGGAUCAACAGAAGCUGAAAAUGAGAAUAUCAAAGGCUGGGCAGAUAGUUUCACUCACGGGCAUUGAUCAGGAUGGCUGGAGGUCACCUGCUGCAAGAAGCACUGUGUUUUCUGUGCAGCUUAAUGAGAGGGAGCAUAUCAUUUCAGGACUCUCACAGGAUGCAGUGUUACUGAGAAUCUCAUGAGGCAAAUCCUAAAUGCCAGGAUAAAUUUGCAGAGAUAGAACUACUACUUUUUUUUUUUAAAUUUCCUUUUGUUAUGACUUGAACGUGUAAGGUCAUGCUUCGAGCCUGCUAUCCUAUAGCUCUCAAUUCUAAACUAGUUGCAAGUAUAUUGGACUUCUUGCCCUGACCCCUGUCCCUUUGAUAGGCCAGGUGAAUCCAAAUAUGCCCGAGUGCAUCUCACAGAAUACAUCUGAUUCUAGGAUGGGACUAGAGGUCUCCUGGUAUUUAGAACUGCAAAAUGAGGUAGCAAAAGCUCUAGUCAUAUGCCUCCCAUUUAUUUGACAUAUCAUCACAAACAUGUCCAUAAUUUACCAAGGUUGAUCCACUGCCUACUACAUUUGUGUGUGAAAAUGUGUCAUGCUUUGUGGAAAAAGUGAAAAUAGUUAUCUGUAUGGUGGGUGCACUUUGAGUGACUGGGGUGGGGUAUGAGCACUGUCUUACAAAAAAGUCAAGAGUAAUAUCUGACAAAGAUACUGUCCUUUACCCUGGAUACCAACAGAUGUUCUUGUUUUCAUUCAAAAUUACAAUUAUCAUUGAAGUGCACAGUGGCUUUUAAUUGAGACAGAUAAAACGUAACUUCAAGUAUUGAAGUAAUUUUUUUUUACUGUUUUUAAGACAACUGAAGAUCUGAGCAAUUCUUGGCAUGACUUUUCUCCAUUCAGUUUAGAUUUUUGUGAUAAAAGGCGACUAUAAUAAAGAGAAUGGUAAAGGAAAAUAUCUAACAUGGAAUUUAUAUCUAAUCUUCUUGAAAGUUAUGAACACUUGUUAAUCCUUAAUUUCAACUCUUGAGAUUUCAUCUGAUUUGAGAUAUUCCU
Molecule: long non-coding RNA, 1746 nt
Filed under: Homo sapiens (human)
Lineage: Eukaryota; Metazoa; Chordata; Mammalia; Primates; Hominidae
Description: HSALNT0313011
Source: RNAcentral